Notolabrus celidotus (New Zealand spotty) is the source of this 1749-nucleotide RNA transcript. It is a transcript of the gene named probable pectinesterase/pectinesterase inhibitor 47, with no coding region annotated. NCBI's taxonomy places the organism in Eukaryota, Metazoa, Chordata, Actinopteri, Labriformes, Labridae. The record is from RefSeq and is a predicted model, not a curated record. The transcript has 5 exons.
UUGUGCCCCUCUGUUGAGCUACACGUUACCCUCUCAGGUGGGUGCGUUCACUUUUUGAGUUUUUUUUUCUUGUUCUAACUUCAAAAUAGAAAUUCACCUCGCUGCCGGUGUGUGCUAACACCAACAGGUUGAGGUUUCCACGGACACUUUGGCGUGAAGAGGAGUUUUCUUUGCACGGUGUUACACGGCAGAUAUCUUCACCCAGCACAGAUGCUGUUCAGCCAUCUGACAGUCUUUUCAGUAGGAGUGUACUGACGCCUUCUGAUAUGAAAAUAUGGGGUAAAAAGAUCCACAGUCCACUCUGUGCAAAAACUGCUAGGGUGUAGCUACUGAUCCUAUACUACAGCAGAAAGAGUGAGAGUGAGAGGGAGGAGGGACAUCAGGUGUCACAGCUCUGCAACCCCAGUUGAGGCUGCAUUACCACGACAACCAGCUCCAGGGGUGCCGCCAGCUCUCUGCCUCACAAGCCCAGCACCCGGCCAGUCGUCCAGCCUGCCAUCCAGCUAUCCUCUCAUCCAUCUACCCAGCCCACCCGUCCGCCCGGCCGCCAGCCAGCCAGGCCGGCCCUGCCCUGCCCAGAACUGGCAACCUGCAGGAGUCAUCAGGGUUAGUGCGCCUUUGGCAGGCCUCUGUGCCAAAACCAUCUUUGUCACAGAUGUAGUGAAGAUUAGGAAAGAGGAUGAGGGAGAGCUGACUCUGACCCCCAAGCGGACGCAAUGAGAUGGAACCACUUAUCUUCCUUCAGAUGGAAAACCACCUCCACCAUCAGAGCCCCAUCUGCUGGCCUGGUAGGGAGGGACAGCUGGUGUUGUGAAUCAGGCCGCCACAGUCUAGGGACCGGCUACUUCCCAACACCAGGGUCUCACCCUUACCACGCACAUCUUACCAGACUUCAUCUCUGUCUCGAAGAAUUCAGGCAAAACAUAUUCUACAUGCUUGUUACUGCUUUUAGUGUUAGAUAUAUUUCGCAAAAAUGUAUAUAAAAAAUGUGUUGAAUUUAUUUUCAAAACCUCAUUUAAUACACACAGCAAACAUAACUUAAUUUACAAUUAAAAUAAAGUUUCCUUUAAGAAGAAAACAUCAUAAACAUGUAUUGAAUAUGUUUGUGUUUCCUUUAUUUUCAUUAUUCAGGACAUUCAAGAAAUCACAUGAAAAAUACCUGAUCAAGAUGUGAUAUGUUUGAAAAUGUCUUCAUGCAUUUGUUGUAUUUUGUUGUAUUUUGUUAGAAUGUAUUUUCAAAGAGAAAGUUUGAACUUUUGACCAUUUGAACUCAUUGCAUUGAAAGAAAAAGUCUGAGCCAGCUACCUCUACCUGUCUCCUAAUGCUGCCUGCAUUGCAUUUUGACAAAUUUUCACAAGGAAUGAGUGACAUAAUGAUUUUUAAGUAGUGUUCAAUAUUCAAUGUUAACUGUUCUAUUUACUCCUGGCAUGUGACCCUGCAGGUUUAAACUGCUGUUGUGGAGUGGUGUAUCUUGAAUUCCUAUUUCCCAUCAACUGUAUCACUAGAGUUUGUUCCUACUGCAAUUGGUGUCCUUUUCUCCAAGAUAAGAUAAUAGUUUCUAUUAUUUGCUUUGGCCAGCACAAGCAAAUCCAUUCACCAGUCUUUUGUAUCAUUAUUUUGUAGACACCCUUGUUUCUGCACAAACUAUGAACUAAAUCCAUUCCAGUUUGUUAAUAAAAUCAUUUUUUGUACAACUUAAAAAUGUUCAAUUAUUAAAAUAUAGAGACUAGUAUGGAAAUAAGUGAUAAG